Molecule: long non-coding RNA, 238 nt
Organism: Hyla sarda
Lineage: Eukaryota; Metazoa; Chordata; Amphibia; Anura; Hylidae
Exons: 3
Source: RefSeq, a predicted model, not a curated record
UGGAGGGUCAAACAAGAUCUUGGUGAUUGGACAAUUGUGGUCUGGAGUUAUCUGUAGUAAGGAAGCAACUAUUUUCAGGUCUUUAUUCCAGGGGGCCAUUUACUAAGCCUAUUUUCCCUUUUUCUGUGGAGGAGCCCUUAUCGUAGGGUCCUCACUUUAUCAGUGAUCUCGUUCUCUGCUACCUAGAGGUUGUUACAUCAGUCGGAGGAUAUUCAAAUGAAGCCACAAAUAAGCCUUG